AACUAGUUUUUGCUUUUAUAUUACUGGUGUGACCUGCCCAGUGAGAAAAAUUCUUUAACGGCUGCAGUAUCCUGACUGUACAAAGGUAGCAUAAUCAUUUGGCUCUUAAUUGGAGUCUGGUAUGAAAGGUUUCACGGAAUUUAGCUGUCUCCCCCUAUUUUAUUAAAAUUUGAGUGGACGAUGAAGACGUCGUCAUGAGUCAAAAGGACGAGAAGACCCCAGGAGCUUGACCCAUUUUUGGCGAUUAAUAGCUCAGGGCUCGAAAAUGGGUUUUAGUUGGGGCGACUCUGGAACAAGAAAAACUUCCAGAAAAAAUAGAUAUCAAAGAUGAACCUUAAUGAAAAGAGUUGAGAGGGUUAUAUGAUGAUCCAAGUUACCCUGGGGAUAACAGCACAAUUUUUUAAAGGAGAUCUCAUCCUCUAAAAAGCUUGUGACCUCGAUGUUGGACUAAGGAAAGGUUUUGGUGCAGAAGCUAGAGAACCUGGGUCUGUUCGACCCUUAAACCCUU
RNAcentral lists this ribosomal RNA (508 nucleotides) under Caecum sp. SI-CBC10KJ01_M2-F06. RNAcentral describes it as "partial large subunit ribosomal RNA". It matches the Rfam family "Bacterial large subunit ribosomal RNA", at positions 1824 to 2597 of the family's 2925-position model. The record is from RNAcentral. Lineage: Eukaryota; Metazoa; Mollusca; Gastropoda; Littorinimorpha; Caecidae.